AACCCGGUGAUCUAUCCAUGGGCAGGUUGAAGGUUGGGUAACACUAACUGGAGGACCGAACCGACUAAUGUUGAAAAAUUAGCGGAUGACUUGUGGAUGGGGGUGAAAGGCCAAUCAAACCGGGAGAUAGCUGGUUCUCCCCGAAAGCUAUUUAGGUAGCGCCUCGUGAACUCAUCUUCGGGGGUAGAGCACUGUUUCGACUAGGGGGUCAUCCCGACUUACCAACUCGAUGCAAACUGCGAAUACCGAAGAAUGUUAUCACGGGAGACACACGGCGGGUGCUAACGUCCGUCGUGAAGAGGGAAACAACCCAGACCGCCAGCUAAGGUCCCAAAGUCAUGGUUAAGUGGGAAACGAAGUGGGAAGGCUCAGACAGCCAGGAUGUUGGCUUAGAAGCAGCCAUCAUUUAAAGAAAGCGUAAUAGCUCACUGGUCGAGUCGGCCCGCGCGGAAGAUGUAACGGGGCUAAACC
Molecule: ribosomal RNA, 471 nt
Filed under: Proteus mirabilis
Lineage: Bacteria; Pseudomonadati; Pseudomonadota; Gammaproteobacteria; Enterobacterales; Morganellaceae
Description: partial 23S ribosomal RNA
Rfam family: Bacterial large subunit ribosomal RNA
Source: RNAcentral